RNAcentral lists this ribosomal RNA (429 nucleotides) under uncultured Candidatus Accumulibacter sp. RNAcentral describes it as "bacterial SSU rRNA". It matches the Rfam family "Bacterial small subunit ribosomal RNA", at positions 355 to 776 of the family's 1533-position model. Lineage: Bacteria; Pseudomonadati; Pseudomonadota; Betaproteobacteria. The record is from RNAcentral.
UGGGGAAUUUUGGACAAUGGGCGCAAGCCUGAUCCAGCCAUGCCGCGUGAGUGAAGAAGGCCUUCGGGUUGUAAAGCUCUUUCGGCGGGGAAGAAAUCGCACGGGUUAAUACCCUGUGUGGAUGACGGUACCCGAAUAAGAAGCACCGGCUAACUACGUGCCAGCAGCCGCGGUAAUACGUAGGGUGCGAGCGUUAAUCGGAAUUACUGGGCGUAAAGCGUGCGCAGGCGGUUUUGUAAGUCAGAUGUGAAAUCCCCGGGCUCAACCUGGGAACUGCAUUUGAGACUGCAAGGCUAGAGUGUGGCAGAGGGGGGUGGAAUUCCACGUGUAGCAGUGAAAUGCGUAGAGAUGUGGAGGAACACCGAUGGCGAAGGCAGCCCCCUGGGCCAAUACUGACGCUCAUGCACGAAAGCGUGGGGAGCAAACAGG